AUUGAACGCUGGCGGCAGGCCUAACACAUGCAAGUCGAGCGGAGCGGCGGACGGGUGAGUAAUGCCUAGGAAUCUGCAUGGUAGUGGUGGAUAACGUUCGGAAACGGGCACUAAUACCGCAUACUAUCAGAUUAGCCUCGGUCGGAUUAGCUAUUUGGUGGGGUAAAGGCCUACCAAGGCGACGAUCCGUACCUGGUCUGAGAGGAUGAGCAGCCACACUGGAACUGAGACACGGUCCAGACUCCUACGGGAGGCAGCAGUGGGGAAUAUUGGACAAUGGGCGAAAGCCUGAUCCAGCCAUGCCGCGUGUGUGAAGAAGGUCUUCGGAUUGUAAAGCACUUUAAGUUGGGAGGCGUUACCAACAGAAUAAGCACCGGCUAACUACGUGCCAGCAGCCGCGGUAAUAC
RNAcentral lists this ribosomal RNA (407 nucleotides) under uncultured bacterium. RNAcentral's name for it is "partial 16S ribosomal RNA". It matches the Rfam family "Bacterial small subunit ribosomal RNA", at positions 30 to 526 of the family's 1533-position model. The record is from RNAcentral.